UUGACCCAUGAAAUCAUUUGAACGAUUUCCUUAGGCAUUCUUUAUAAUUUUUUUGUUAGGAUUUUUAUUCACUGUGUGCAUCUACUCAAUCUCCGUUCAACCAUGAUUCAGUGCUCACAUUCUAAUCUCUCCUUCUUCGAGUGUUUGCAAUGUCUCACAAUGUUAGGGUACCGGGUAGUACUGGCGUGGUGAUGCCGCCACUGAAUUUCGUGACCGUGCGCUACGUUUUGGAAACUGAGGCUUUGUGACGAGCGAACAGCUUUUCGCUUACUAGUUCAAGCGACCGCUAACAGCUGUGAACACUAAUCUUGUCAGGAGCACGGCACAUUUUCCGGAUAAUAGUAUCAGCGUUGUUAUGGCCAUGGCCUAACUCUCUUCACCUAGACUAGAGCUGUGGAAUUCUACUCCCUCCACAGUCCCCCACACGACGUCUAAUGGCUAGUUUUGAAUGUAGCUUUGGGUGGACAUGCGAGUCCCUGUAACAGCAAGAGAAGUUGCUAUAAACUUCACGGAACGUCUACAAGAAGUUGAACAUUGUCAUGGGUCCAUGGACCAGAGCUGAACUCUGCUUGGUUACAACUGCCUCAUAGCCAGCAAUUUUGGAACAACAAUUUCAGCCAAUGGCUGCACACAGUGACAAUUGGAUGUAGUUCUUGUUUCUGCAUGGAGUGGCUGCUGUUUGUCCAUGGAAUGGCUGCUGUUUGUCCAUGGAAUGGCUGCUGUUUGGCCACAGAAUGCCUGCUAUUUUGCCACGGCAUGCCUGCUGCUUGGACACGGAAUGCCUGACAUUUGGCCACGGAAUUCCUGAUGUGUGUCCAUGGAAUGCCUGACGUUUGGCCGUGGAAUGCCUGACGUUUGGCCACGGAAUGCCUGACGUUUGGCCGUGGAAUGCCUGACGUUUGGCCACGGAAUGCCUGACGUUUGGCCACGGAAUGCCUGACUUUUGGACACAGAAUGGCUGCACGGUGGUUUCGGUACGCUUGGCACGUAAAUACCUGCAAACAUGACAUUGUACAAGUGUCUCUGCAAGGAAACGGAUGGAGUUCAUGUCCACGGGUCACUUUGCUAGUGCGGACUGAAAGGAGAAGAUUUACCGGCAUACUUCUGGAAACGUUCUCCUCACCUCCAGAAGCGCCGUUCAUAUCAAUAUUCACAGCCACACUUGUUCCUGUAUUGCCAGCUGCUACAUUCUGUGAUCCAAUGGACAUUCUACCAAAAGAUCUACCGGCAUACUUCUGGAAACGUUCUCCUCACCUCCAGAAGCGCCGUUCAUAUCAAUAUUAGACACCCUUAGCAAACAACGGUAACGCUAUUUUUUACGGUACUCGUACCUUGAUCACCCAAAUAGCGUUGAAGCUGCAGCGUAUAAACGUUAUGGGGGCUGAUUUAUCGUUGUGACCAACGGUACGUGUUUUGGCCAAAUAUUGCAUAGUCCGUACGCAUUUCACCUUGUAUCGCGUAUAUGGUGACAAAAAUGGUUGUACCGCGCGAAAUCGAAGCUACUCUCGUGGCAACAGCGUACUAAAAAUAGCGUGCAUCUUGCUAAAGGUCGAACCCAAAUCACGGUAUUUUCCCCCUUACGAUAAUACCGUUACAACAUAACGUUUUUUGCUAAGGGUGUCUAUUCACAGCCAUUCUUGUUCCUGUAUUGCCAGCUGCUACAUUCUGUGAUCCAAUGGAAAUUCUACCAAAAGAUCUACCGGCAUACCUCUGGAAACUUUCUCCUCAUCUCCAGAAGCGCCGUUCAUUUCAAUAUUCACAGCCAUACUUGUUCCUGUAUUGCCAGCUGCUACAUUCUGGGAUCCAAUGGAAAUUCUACCAAAAGAUCCACCGGCAUACCUCAGGAAACAUUCUCCUCACCUCCAGAAGCGCCGUUCAUAUCAAUAUUCGCAGCCAUCCUUGUUCCUGUAUUGCCAGCUGCUACAUUCUGUGAUCCAAUGGGCAUUCUACCAAAUUGGCCAGGUUCACCGGCAGUGUUUUCGUGAAGUCCUGAAAAGAGGUCUUGUUUGCAGACAGCAUGGGCACACAGCCUCGUCAUGGACUUGGGGCGUCAAUGGCUGCAUAUGGCAACUGCUAGUUUGUCUGAAAACUACAUCUCACAACCUCAGUGGAUCCAGCUUGCCCAGUAUUGGAGAGACUCUGAUGACCUUAGCCAUCCAAAACCACCAAGCCAACUCAAGUUGAGAGUAUUAUGUUGUCUGAACCUGUCAUAGUAAGUUCCGUCAUCAUAAUAACUUGUCUGAUCACAGAAUCACUGCCUCGCCUAACAGCUAUCAUCGCAUUCGGGAAAGAGCAUUCCCAAAGGUGUGUUGGCGUGUGUUCCGUUGUCUGAUGACUGUGUGUGCAGCAGCAAAUAACACAGCAGCAGCAAAAAACACAGGUCAACUGUUCAGCUGCGUGAAAUCAUACCCUGCUGCAGCUGUUGACUUCAUGUACAGCUGCAGUGAUGUUUACAUUCUAGUUUUUAAAGUGGCUGCUACGUAGCACUUUCUGCAAUGCUUACAUGUUGUACUUGUAACACUGCUGCUGCUGCUGCAUGUUGGACUGAGCGGACGUAUGCACUGGUACAUCAAUACUGUGUUACUUGCUAUACUGGAAGUGCAGUGGUGCCAACCUAUCAUGAAUAUUCAGUGAUUGGUAUACUGUGGCACUGCCCUUGCCAUCACUUCUCUAGCCAACUUGCAGUGCAACGGUGCGGUUAUUGCGCUUGUAGUAUCGCACUGGUGUUGUUCUUCUCACCCCCCCCCCCCCCCGUCUGUCUGUCUCUCUCUCUUCUUGAUCGAUCGAGUGUGUGCAGCUGUGAUUCUGUUCUUGCUUUGUUUAUACCGUCAUGAUUGUGUUCUUUCUGUGUGUUUCUCUGCAGUCCCUGCCGUUCUUGUGUUGUGUGUGUGUAUGGUGAUGGGUGUGUCAUCAGCUUAAUGCAUGGCUGACUAGCUACACUCCCCAGCAUGCACUCUCAUACUUGACUCUAAGGCAAAGUGACUGAGUAGCCAUGGUAGCUGCUAUCUUGUUAGACUGUGUGCUAGUACUUGUGUUCUUGGCAUGAUAGGUAGAAAUAUGAUUGAUUGACUGUCAUCAGGUGGAAUCAGAGUUGCUGUUGAGUACUUUGCAAAUGGUGCUAGGACUUGCUCAACUCUGAUUGGCUGAGGGCAGUUGACUGAUCAUUUCAGGUGUGAAGUUCAGAGCCAGGAUAGGCUAUAAAAGUAAUCAUUCUAGGAGGGGAUGGUGGUCGGGGUUUGGGAUGGCCAGAAUUUUACAUUUUUCUUCUUGGCUUGAACUCUUGUUGUUUCUGCAUGAGGAAACACUGAUGGCCUCUGAACUCUUGUUGUUUCUGCAUGAGGGUAGAAUUUUCCAAGAAGAAAACACUUGCUGAGCUCUGAUUGGCUGAGGGCGAUUGACUGGUCAUUUCAGGUGUGAAAAUCAGAGCCAGGAUAGGCUAUAAAAGUAAUCAU
Molecule: long non-coding RNA, 3452 nt
Organism: Sycon ciliatum
Lineage: Eukaryota; Metazoa; Porifera; Calcarea; Leucosolenida; Sycettidae
Exons: 6
Source: RefSeq, a predicted model, not a curated record